This 928-nucleotide ribosomal RNA is filed under the name uncultured Gemella sp. RNAcentral describes it as "bacterial SSU rRNA". It matches the Rfam family "Bacterial small subunit ribosomal RNA", at positions 590 to 1512 of the family's 1533-position model. The record is from RNAcentral. Lineage: Bacteria; Bacillati; Bacillota; Bacilli; Caryophanales; Gemellaceae.
UGAUGUGAAAGCCCACGGCUCAACCGUGGAGGGUCAUUGGAAACUGUUAAACUUGAGUGCAGGAGAGAAAAGUGGAAUUCCUAGUGUAGCGGUGAAAUGCGUAGAGAUUAGGAGGAACACCAGUGGCGAAGGCGGCUUUUUGGCCUGUAACUGACACUGAGGCGCGAAAGCGUGGGGAGCAAACAGGAUUAGAUACCCUGGUAGUCCACGCCGUAAACGAUGAGUGCUAAGUGUUGGUCUCAUAAGAGAUCAGUGCUGCAGCUAACGCAUUAAGCACUCCGCCUGGGGAGUACGACCGCAAGGUUGAAACUCGAAGGAAUUGACGGGGACCCGCACAAGCGGUGGAGCAUGUGGUUUAAUUCGAAGCAACGCGAAGAACCUUACCAAGUCUUGACAUACUGUGAGGACACAAGAGAUUGUGUUGUUCUGACCUUUGGUUAGACACAGAUACAGGUGGUGCAUGGUUGUCGUCAGCUCGUGUCGUGAGAUGUUGGGUUAAGUCCCGCAACGAGCGCAACCCUUAUAUCUAGUUGCCAGCAGUAAGAUGGGGACUCUAGAUAGACUGCCAGUGAUAAACUGGAGGAAGGUGGGGAUGACGUCAAAUCAUCAUGCCCCUUAUGACUUGGGCUACACACGUGCUACAAUGGAUAGGAACAAAGAGAAGCGAGCUCGCGAGAGUAAGCAAACCUCACAAAACUAUUCUCAGUUCGGAUUGUAGUCUGCAACUCGACUACAUGAAGCUGGAAUCGCUAGUAAUCGCGAAUCAGAAUGUCGCGGUGAAUACGUUCCCGGGUCUUGUACACACCGCCCGUCACACCACGAGAGUUUGUAACACCCGAAGACGGUGGCCUAACCUUUUAGGAGGGAGCCGGUCACGGUGGGACAGAUGAUUGGGGUGAAGUCGUAACAAGGUAGCCGUAUCGGAAGG